Molecule: long non-coding RNA, 603 nt
Organism: Mytilus trossulus (common blue mussel)
Lineage: Eukaryota; Metazoa; Mollusca; Bivalvia; Mytilida; Mytilidae
Exons: 3
Source: RefSeq, a predicted model, not a curated record
AGAACACGUUAUUUACUAGAAUCUUUCAGAAGAACAAAGUCAUCAUUGAUAACGAAUGACAUGUUACCGUAUAAAACCCGGUAUAUUUUUACAUCUGUCAUUUAAUAUAGUAGGAAUCAGCUAGAAGAAUAAUGGAGACAAUUAGAAUAUUAUAUUCAGUUCUUGUUAUUGUAUUGUUGAAUAUGAAUCUUGUGGUAACAAGUGAAGAACAAGCUGACAGUCCACAGCUUAGGGCUAAUAAUCCUGAUCUAGAGCUUCUCCUGUCUCUGAUACAAUCAGAAAUUAAUAACAAACCUCAAAUGUCAAUUCCAAGUGACCUGGUUCUCCCACAAAAGAAAUGGAGUCGUCCGCAGCACAGAAUAUCUCGUCAAUACUUGCUUCAACUUUUAAGAUCUCGAGGCUAUCAUGUUAGGCUGAAUGGAAAACGAUAAAACUAACAAUUAUUUGUGCGUUCCUUUGUAUUUAUUUUUGAUUGUUUAUGUAAUACAUUUGAUUUAUAAAAUAGUUUUAAAGAUUGCUGCAAUAUCGAAGAUUAUAUUUGUUUUAAUUUUAUUAUAAUUCUGUAAAAACGGACAUCUUAUCUGUGCAUGUGUGAGCAUUGAG